Molecule: ribosomal RNA, 496 nt
Filed under: uncultured bacterium
Lineage: Bacteria
Description: partial 16S ribosomal RNA
Rfam family: Bacterial small subunit ribosomal RNA
Source: RNAcentral
GAUGAACGCUGGCGGCGUGCCUAAUACAUGCAAGUCGAGCGAACAGACGAGGAGCUUGCUCCUCUGACGUUAGCGGCGGACGGGUGAGUAACACGUGGAUAACCUACCUAUAAGACUGGGAUAACUUCGGGAAACCGGAGCUAAUACCGGAUAAUAUAUUGAACCGCAUGGUUCAAUAGUGAAAGACGGUUUUGCUGUCACUUAUAGAUGGAUCCGCGCCGCAUUAGCUAGUUGGUAAGGUAACGGCUUACCAAGGCAACGAUGCGUAGCCGACCUGAGAGGGGAACCGCCAAACUGGAAAUGGAGAACGGGCCAAACUCCUAAGGGGGGCACGAGUGGGGAAUUUUGGCCAAUGGGGGCAAGGCUGAACGGGCCAAACCCCGUGGGGGAAGAAGGGUUUUGGGUUGUAAAACCCUUUUUUUGGGGAAAAAAAAAAUGUGAAAAAAACACUGCCGUUCUGAGGGUACCCAAAGAAAAAAGCCGGGGUAACUUCGUG